GGGUGCGAUCAUACCAGCACUAAUGCGUCGGAUCCCAUCAGAACUCCGCAGUUAAGCGUGCUUGGGCGAGAAUGGUACUAAGACGAGCAUUUGUCGCAGGAC
Molecule: ribosomal RNA, 102 nt
Filed under: Cephalotus follicularis
Lineage: Eukaryota; Viridiplantae; Streptophyta; Magnoliopsida; Oxalidales; Cephalotaceae
Source: RNAcentral